UUGAGGUUCCAUUGAGUGUAAAUUCAAUCCUGUGGAUCUGGAAAAGAUUAUGGGAUAUAAACAGAUGGAACCAAGGGACAGAAGCCUGGGAAAAGUGAUCAGGCCUGGAGAUGCACAAGCAAGAUUUUGGAGUUUACACCAAAGGUGAUAGCGUUAGCAGUCAUGGGAGAUGUCUAGGGAGAGGUAAAAACAGAAGAGCACAGCUCUAAAGAAGUCUGGGGGAACC
This 226-nucleotide long non-coding RNA is filed under the name Homo sapiens (human). RNAcentral describes it as "long non-coding RNA NONHSAT212544.1". The record is from RNAcentral. Lineage: Eukaryota; Metazoa; Chordata; Mammalia; Primates; Hominidae.